CCUACGUGCGGCAGCAGUGAGGAAUAUUGGUCAAUGGGCGCGAGCCUGAACCAGCCAAGUAGCGUGAAGGAUGACUGCCCUACGGGUUGUAAACUUCUUUUAUAAAGGAAUAAAGUGAGGCACGUGUGCCUUUUUGUAUGUACUUUAUGAAUAAGGAUCGGCUAACUCCGUGCCAGCAGCCGCGGUAAUACGGAGGAUCCGAGCGUUAUCCGGAUUUAUUGGGUUUAAAGGGAGCGUAGAUGGGUUGUUAAGUCAGUUGUGAAAGUUUGCGGCUCAACCGUAAAAUUGCAAUUGAUACUGGCAGUCUUGAUUACAGUUGAGGUAGGCGGAAUUCGUGGUGUAGCGGUGAAAUGCUUAGAUAUCACGAAGAACUCCGAUUGCGAAGGCAGCUUACUAAACUGCCACUGACAUUGAUGCUCGAAAGUGUGGGUAUCAAACAGGAUUAGAUACCCUUGUAGUC
This 460-nucleotide ribosomal RNA is filed under the name uncultured bacterium. RNAcentral describes it as "partial 16S ribosomal RNA". It matches the Rfam family "Bacterial small subunit ribosomal RNA", at positions 338 to 795 of the family's 1533-position model. The record is from RNAcentral.